AUGGCCUCCUCAGCCAGCGUCGCUCUUAACCUUGGAUCGCCGCCGUCAGAGAAGCUCGCAAGAGGAAAUUUCAUCCUCUGGAAGACGCAUGUCCUCCCAGCCCUGCGAGGUGCGCAGGUUACUGGGCUCCUGGAUAACUCCGACGCCGCUCCGCCGAGGAUGGUGGAGGUCACGAAGGCGGACAAAACUACGGCCCUAGAGCCGAAUCCUCUGUACGGGCCCUGGAUCACCAAAGAUCAACAGGUCUUAUCAUAUCUACUCAAUUCCAUGUCUCCAGAAAUCCUUGCACAAGUCGUCGGAAAGGACUCCACCUACGAGCUCUGGACGACGGUGACAAAUCUCUUCGCCUCGCAAUCGCAGUCCCGGAUCACCAAUCUGAGGAUCGCAAUCACUAACACCAAGAAGGGCACCAUGUCGAGCUCGGUGUAUAUGGCGAAGAUGAAGAGCCUUGGGGACGAACUUGCUGCUGCUGGGCGCCCCGUCUCUGACCCGGAGAUGGUGGACUACAUCCUGGCAGGACUCGAUCGCGACUACGACUCCGUGGUGGCGGCGAUCGGCGCUGUCAAGAACACCAUCACCGCCGACGAUCUUUUUGCUCAGAUCUCCGCUUUUGAUCAGAGGAUGGAGAUGCUGGGUGAUUCGUCUUCAGGAGGAUUUCAUUCAUCGGCCAACGCAGUCUACAGAGGCCGUGGCCAGUCCCGCGGCAGACCCCGUGGGCAAGGAGGAAGGGGGCGCGGCCGUGGUGAUCGCGGUGACCGCGGUGACCGCCAGCCCUCUCCCGCAAACAGAAGCGGCGGAUUCAGAGGAUGCCCUCGACAACAACAGCAGCAUCAGGUGCGUGAACAGCAGCACGACUACCCUGAAUGUCAGAUAUGCUACAAGCACCAUCCAGGAGGCGCACGUGUUUGCUGGUGA
RNAcentral lists this ribosomal RNA (915 nucleotides) under Triticum aestivum (bread wheat). RNAcentral describes it as "partial small subunit ribosomal RNA". The record is from RNAcentral. Lineage: Eukaryota; Viridiplantae; Streptophyta; Magnoliopsida; Poales; Poaceae.